GACGAACGCUGGCGGCGUGCCUAAUACAUGCAAGUCGAGCGGAUGACGGAGGAGCUUGCUCCUCCUGAUUCAGCGGCGGACGGGUGAGUAACACGUGGGCAACCUGCCCUGUAGAUUGGGAUAACUCCGGGAAACCGGGGCUAAUACCGAAUAAUCCUUCGGACCUCAUGGUCCGAUGUUGAAAGACGGUUUCGGCUGUCACUACAGGAUGGGCCCGCGGCGCAUUAGCUAGUUGGUGAGGUAACGGCUCACCAAGGCCACGAUGCGUAGCCGACCUGGGAGGGUGUUCGGCCACACUGGGACUGAGACACGGCCCAGACUCCUACGGGAGGCAGCAGUAGGGAAUCUUCCACAAUGGACGAAAGUCUGAUGGAGCAACGCCGCGUGAGUGAAGAAGGUUCUCGGAUCGUAAAACUCUGUUGUGAGGGAAGAACAAGUACCGGAGUAACUGCCGGUGCCUUGACGGUACCUCAUUAGAAAGCCACGGCUAACUACGUGCCAGCCGCCGCGGUAA
This 514-nucleotide ribosomal RNA is filed under the name uncultured bacterium. RNAcentral's name for it is "partial 16S ribosomal RNA". It matches the Rfam family "Bacterial small subunit ribosomal RNA", at positions 28 to 523 of the family's 1533-position model. The record is from RNAcentral.